Molecule: long non-coding RNA, 1272 nt
Filed under: Anolis carolinensis (green anole)
Lineage: Eukaryota; Metazoa; Chordata; Lepidosauria; Squamata; Anolidae
Description: lncRNA (ENSACAG00000044696.1)
Source: RNAcentral
UUUGCUGCCUCUUAACUUGGGCUGCCCCUGCAAUAUAGUUGGGUUAUAUAGCCACGCUUUUUUCCUCAACCCCCAUGAAUCCAUCAACACACAUCUGUGAUCCUGAAGAAAGAAAUGAGAACAAAACCCUGUACAAUAACAUUUCAAGGACUAAGCAGCCAAGGACGAAUAGAGCUAUGAACAUAAAAACUUAAUCAUGGCUACAAAGCAAGAUUGCCGCCUUUAAUUUUAUGUGUUAGGGUGAUCAAAAUGUUCUUUUUAGAAAGCAGCUGGAUAGCUCAUCUGAUGCUGCAUAGCUCUCAGAAACAAACAACUCAUAUGCAUUUUUUGCUUUCAGGGUCUUAACAAGGAAACAUUAAUGAAAAGAGGCAUGCCGUGACCAAGAAUCAUUGCACCGUUGGCUCUGAAAACCAAGGUGGCUGGAGAAAAGUGGCAGCCCCUAAAGCAUCUCUAUGACAUAUGGCAAACUUGCUUUCAGGCAAUUAUUGUGGAGGCUCUGAAUGCUGGGAUACGGGCCAUAUCCUAGCCUCAGGCCAACUCCGUUUUCAACAGGAUGCCAAAUUCAUAGGAAUCCCUGGUGUGUACAAUGUUCAUGGAGCAGGUUCCAAAACAAAUACAAUUGUGUUGAAGCUUGGCCAGUUUCCUUACUACUGGUUGACCAAGAAAGUCAGCCAAUCUAACAGUUGGUUAACAAGGGAAGAGAAAUCUAGCCUCCCUAUUAUAGAACAAGAGGGAAGAGAGUAUAAUAAAUUUCCCCAUUGAAUUCCUUGCCCAUUGUAUGCCACACAACCUAGCACACACCUGUUUGUUGUAUCCACUCCAAAAACACAGAACAAUCCCUUUUGGGAUCCCAAAGAAGCAAAGAACAAGGCUGUCUUUUUCUUUUGCUUUGUCAGGAACAGAACCAUGCAGUGACUUCUCUGCAGAAGCUUAUGAAACGGCUGAGCAAAGGAGUCGGCAACAGCAGGAGGGAGCUGAAGAGAAACACCUGUGUCUAAAGUCAGGGAGAUUUGAGGCGAAGGUUUGUGGACUGAAGGAAAAGAGAAGCAAGGCUUCCCCUGGUCAUGAAGAUGCCUUUUCAUUAUAUAUCCAACCAUAAAAUAAACGUGACCCAAAUAACAUGUGGCCCCUGAAAAUCCCCAGAGCCCUGAAAUAUCCAAGAAGAUUGUGCUGAUUUCUGGUCUGUUUUCACACCAAAACAGCAGCCCACUCCAACCAACCACAAAUGGGGUGGCUUUUCCCCUCUAACCCCUUAAAACCUCUCAAACAAUC